CAGCAUUUCUCGUCAGUAUGCAAACUACAAACAGGUCGAUGAAAUCCUACUAUCAUUAAAGAUUACACGGGUAAAAGUAGAAAGAGGAAUCGGACAACUGAAAAGAAGGUGGGGUGUGUUACAUGGUGAAGUAAGAAUGAAACCAGAAAGAGUCUGCAGGAUUAUUAUCUCCUGUGCAGUGUUGCAUAACAUCUGCAAAAAUCUGAACAUCCCGAUACCUGAUGAUUAUCCAGUAAUACAGGAAGAUGAUCAGAGCGAUGAUAACAACAACAUGAAUGCAGGAUUUGCACAUAAUGAACUGCGUUACCGGGAUCAAAUUGCUUAUACAUACUUUUAGAUGAUAUAAGAAGUUACAGGUUUUUGGUAACAACUCUAUAGCAGCAAAUAAUAACAUAAUGGUAACAUCUUUAACAGCUUAUUUUUUAUGCUAUAUUCAAGGGGCUAAU
Dreissena polymorpha is the source of this 446-nucleotide long non-coding RNA. RefSeq lists it as uncharacterized. Lineage: Eukaryota; Metazoa; Mollusca; Bivalvia; Myida; Dreissenidae. The record is from RefSeq and is a predicted model, not a curated record. The transcript has 3 exons.